UACAAGAUGCCUGGGUUGGUGGUAACUGG
This 29-nucleotide non-coding RNA is filed under the name Rattus norvegicus (Norway rat). The record is from RNAcentral. Lineage: Eukaryota; Metazoa; Chordata; Mammalia; Rodentia; Muridae.